Macaca fascicularis (crab-eating macaque) is the source of this 117-nucleotide unclassified non-coding RNA. It matches the Rfam family "Metazoan signal recognition particle RNA". From Rfam's summary of the family: The signal recognition particle (SRP) is a universally conserved ribonucleoprotein. NCBI's taxonomy places the organism in Eukaryota, Metazoa, Chordata, Mammalia, Primates, Cercopithecidae. The record is from Ensembl.
GCCGGGCACGGUGACUCAUGCCUGUAAUCCCAGCACUUUGGGAGGCCGAGGCGGGUGGAUCUCCUGAGGUCGGGAGUUCAAGACCAGCCUGACCAACAUGGAGAAAGCCCGUCUCUA